Molecule: ribosomal RNA, 252 nt
Filed under: uncultured bacterium
Lineage: Bacteria
Description: partial 16S ribosomal RNA
Rfam family: Bacterial small subunit ribosomal RNA
Source: RNAcentral
UACGUAGGGUGCAAGCGUUGUCCGGAAUUAUUGGGCGUAAAGAGCUCGUAGGCGGUUUGUCGCGUCUGCUGUGAAAACGCGAGGCUCAACCUCGCGCCUGCAGUGGGUACGGGCAGACUAGAGUGCGGUAGGGGAGAUUGGAAUUCCGGGUGUAGCGGUGGAAUGCGUAGAGAUCCGGAAGAACACCGGUGGCGAAGGCGGCCUGCUGGGCUAUGGCUGACACUGAUGCGCGACAGCGUGGGGAGCAACAGG